RNAcentral lists this ribosomal RNA (439 nucleotides) under uncultured bacterium. RNAcentral's name for it is "partial 16S ribosomal RNA". It matches the Rfam family "Bacterial small subunit ribosomal RNA", at positions 339 to 795 of the family's 1533-position model. The record is from RNAcentral.
CUACGGGUUGCUGCAGUGAGGAAUAUUGCACAAUGGAGGAAACUCUGAUGCAGCAACGCCGCGUGGAGGAUGACGCAUUUCGGUGUGUAAACUCCUUUUAUAUGUCAAGAAAAUGACGGUAGCAUAUGAAUAAGCACCGGCUAACUCCGUUCCAGCAGCCGCGGUAAUACGGAGGGUGCAAGCGUUACUCGGAAUCACUGGGCGUAAAGGACGCGUAGGCGGGAUAUCAAGUCAGGUGUGAAAUCCUACAGCUUAACUGUAGAACUGCACUGGAAACUGGUAACCUAGAGUAUGGGAGGGGGAGAUGGAAUUAGUGGUGUAGGGGUAAAAUCCGUAGAUAUCACUAGGAAUACCUAAAGCGAAGGCGAUCUCCUGGAACAUAACUGACGCUAAGGCGUGAAAGCGUGGGGAGCAAACAGGAUUAGAUACCCUCGUAGUC